Molecule: ribosomal RNA, 467 nt
Filed under: uncultured bacterium
Lineage: Bacteria
Description: partial 16S ribosomal RNA
Rfam family: Bacterial small subunit ribosomal RNA
Source: RNAcentral
GACGAACGCUGGCGGCGUGCUUAACACAUGCAAGUCGAACGGAAAGGCCCUGCUUUUGUGGGGUGCUCGAGUGGCGAACGGGUGAGUAACACGUGAGUAACCUGCCCUUGACUUUGGGAUAACUUCAGGAAACUGGGGCUAAUACCGGAUAGGAGCUCCUGCUGCAUGGUGGGGGUUGGAAAGUUUCGGCGGUUGGGGAUGGACUCGCGGCUUAUAAGCUUGUUGGUGGGGUAGUGGCUUACCAAGGCUUUGACGGGUAGCCGGCCUGAGAGGGUGACCGGCCACAUUGGGACUGAGAUACGGCCCAGACUCCUACGGGAGGCAGCAGUGGGGAAUAUUGCACAAUGGGCGGAAGCCUGAUGCAGCAACGCCGCGUGCGGGAUGACGGCCUUCGGGUUGUAAACCGCUUUCGCCUGUGACGAAGCGUGAGUGACGGUAAUGGGUAAAGAAGCACCGGCUAACUACGU